This 253-nucleotide ribosomal RNA is filed under the name uncultured bacterium. RNAcentral describes it as "partial 16S ribosomal RNA". It matches the Rfam family "Bacterial small subunit ribosomal RNA", at positions 524 to 776 of the family's 1533-position model. The record is from RNAcentral.
UACGUAGGGGGCAAGCGUUGUCCGGAAUCAUUGGGCGUAAAGCGCGUGUAGGCGGCCCGGUAAGUCCGCUGUGAAAGUCCAGGGCUCAACCCUGGGAUGCCGGUGGAUACUGUCGGGCUCGAGUCCGGAAGAGGAGUGUGGAAUUCCUGGUGUAGCGGUGAAAUGCGCAGAUAUCAGGAAGAACACCAAUGGCGAAGGCAGCUCUCUGGGACGGUACUGACGCUGAGACGCGAAAGCGUGGGGAGCGAACAGG